Molecule: ribosomal RNA, 116 nt
Filed under: Pteropus alecto (black flying fox)
Lineage: Eukaryota; Metazoa; Chordata; Mammalia; Chiroptera; Pteropodidae
Source: RNAcentral
GUCUGUGGCCAUGCUACCCUGAACAAACCCAAUGUCUGAUCUCAGAAGCUAAGCAGGGUCGGGCCUGAUUAGUAUUUGGAUGGGAGACCACCUAGGAAGACCAGAUGCUGUAGGCA